GUGGAUACAGAGAGGGAAAAGGAGGGGAUUAACAGUGUGCUGUGGUGGUUCUAUGGUGGGGGAGGGGUUUACGCUCCUCAGCCCUGCAGCAGGAGGCAGUGAAUGACAAGGACCCCAAGGAUUGAGGAGAGGGAGUGCGCUAUCUGGGGACCCUACAUUACCAUCACAGAGGCUGUCUGAGGACCCCACAUUACCACCACAGAGGCUGAGGACCCCACAUUACCAACACAGAGGCUGUCUGAGGACCCCACAUUACCACCACAGAGGCUGAGGACCCCACAUUACCAACACAGAGGCUGAGGACCCCACAUUACCACCACAGAGGCUGAGGACCCCACCUUACCACCACAGUGGCUGUCUGAGGACCCCACAUUACCACCACAGAGGCUGAGGACCCCACAUUACCACCACAGAGGCUGAGGACCCCACAUUACCAACACAGAGGCUGAGGACCCUACAUUACCACCACAGAGGCUGUCUGAGGACCCCACAUUACCACCACAGAGGCUGUCUGAGGACCCCACAUUACCACCAGAGGCUGGGAACCCUACAUUACCACCACAGAGGCUGAGGACCCUACAUUACCACCACAGAGGCUGUCUGAGGAGCCCACAUUACCACCACAGAGGCUGAGGACCCCACAUUACCACCACAGAGGCUGUCUGAGGACCCCACAUUACCACCACAGAGGCUGAGGACCUGAGGACUCUGUUGCUACCUCAAUGAAAUAUUGCUGGAAUUCUGGGACAUCUUUGUGUUCAUUUUGCCGAGUCAGCCAUUGUGUUCAACGGCUGGAAGGAGCAAAUCCCAGACUACAUUCCAGAUUCCCUCUGAUAAUGAUAUACAUUGUAAAUUAGUUUUCUUCUAGGAAUACUAAAUUGUUUUCAUUUACCAUGAUCUGUUACUGACCACAGUGACCAAAUAAGUCAUUAUCAACCAUAACAAAAUUCAGAAAUAAAAUUCCAGGAUAAAUCUUUUUUAGCACUUUAUUUUAUAGGAUUUAAAAUACUGUGUGCUGAUUGCAACUGGUAGAAUUUACAUGACCAUUUCUUUUCACUUCUUGUUCUUCUUGCUUCUGUUUUUCUCCUUUUCUCUUUUAAAACUCCUCAGUUUUCCAAGCUGUUCCCUUAUAAUUAUUGCAGAAACAUGCUUUUUAUUGAUGUGUAGUUUUCAUGUUGUUACCCAGUUGUUUCCUUUUUGUUUCUAUGUUGUUUCCAGGAGAUGACCUAGUUAUUUCCAUCCUGCAAAAUAAAGUGCAACCGAGAACCCAGGAAGGAUAUGCUUUUAUACAUUAAAAUGUCAAACUCUGCACAUUAAUGUUAACAUUUUAAACUUGGCAUAUGAAUAGUAAAAUGACAC
This is a long non-coding RNA of Esox lucius (northern pike), 1359 nucleotides long. NCBI's taxonomy places the organism in Eukaryota, Metazoa, Chordata, Actinopteri, Esociformes, Esocidae. The record is from Ensembl.